This is a long non-coding RNA of Bombus terrestris (buff-tailed bumblebee), 1074 nucleotides long. RefSeq lists it as uncharacterized. NCBI's taxonomy places the organism in Eukaryota, Metazoa, Arthropoda, Insecta, Hymenoptera, Apidae. The transcript is spliced from 2 exons. The record is from RefSeq and is a predicted model, not a curated record.
UCUUCGUUUAAUGUUAUAAAAUCCAAUAUAAGAGCCAAUGUCACAAAGUAAAGGUAAAUGAUCAAUGUCAUUGAAAAAUUUAGUGUUUGCUUUGAAUUUCGUGCUUUAUAACAACAUUCUACAGGCAGUUCUAUAACACUCUAGACAAUGCACGUGUUGUAAAAACACGUACAAGAUCGUGUUACGCACCGUAUGACAAACUAUUCACAUAUUCUAUUUAUAGAAAAUAUCGUGAUUACGAACUAUCGCGUGCAAUACUUUACACGUUGCAGUACUUUCCAAGAUGAUUCAAUGGAGUCAAUUAUACUAACUUGUUCUUUUUGUAUACUUAAAAAUUCAACUUAUGAUAUAAUGUUUUGAAUAAUACAUAAGGGUCUUUGCUCGUAUUGCAUAUUUAUAUCAAGUAUGAUUAAAUAACAAGGUCGAUCGAUAUAUAUAGUUUUCUUUGAGUUGAAAGAAAAAACAAGCUAAUUCAACAGAUUUAAAUAUUCCAUACUACCAUCGACAUAACCACGCAAUUAUACACAAUUUAAUUUGACCUUAUCAUCUGUAACGUUUAAAAUGAAAUCGCUUUUUACAUACUUAAUUAAGGAAACUACAGCAUUAAUCUUAAUUAAGAAAAUUUCGGUUUAAAUAUAUCAUACUAUGUAGUAGAACUGUUUAUUUAAAUAUAUAAAAUUAAAGGUAGGAUUUAAAUAUUUAUGAAUUGUUUAACAUGUAUACAAAAAGUCACUUUAUUUUAAAGCAAUUAUAGUAAUAAUGGGUUUUAUAAAUUGUUAGUUACUAUAUUACAUAUAGCAAUAAAUAUUUUAAAAAGUUGGAAAAAAUAUUCUACAAUAUUUUCACAGUAAUAAAGUGUAAUCUACUUCUAUUUUAUAUACAUAUUUAUACAAACUUAUGCAUGUACAGAAUAAAGGACAUGCUUAUUAAUAAAUAUAACAUUCUUUGUAAAAAUUUAAUAUUACAAUCUUUAAGUAUUGAGUUGGAAGUGAGAUAGUGUGCAAUUAGUCGUUCCCCUGCAUUGCAAUUUUCUCGUUGCUGUUGUUUCAUACUUAAAAAAAAAGAAAAAACGUU